GAUGAACGCUGGCGGCGUGCCUAAUACAUGCCAGUCGAGCGAACAGACGAGGAGCUUGCUCCUCUGACGUUAGCGGCAGACGGGUGAGUAACACGUGGAUAACCUACCUAUAAGACUGGGAUAACUUCGGGAAACCGGAGCUAAUACCGGAUAAUAUAUUGAACCGCAUGGUUCAAUAGUGAAAGACGGUUUUGCUGUCACUUAUAGAUGGAUCCGCGCCGCAUUAGCUAGUUGGUAAGGUAACGGCUUACCAAGGCAACGAUGCGUAGCCGACCUGAGAGGGUGAUCGGCCACCCUGGAACUGAGACAAGGUCCAGACUCCUGCGGGAGGCAGCAGUAGGGAAUCUUCCGCAAUGGGCGAAAGCCUGACGGAGCAACGCCGCGUGAGUGAUGAAGGUCUUCGGAUCGUAAAACUCUGUUAUUGGGGAAGAACAAAUGUGUAAGUAACUAUGCACGUCUUGACGGUACCUAAUCAGAAAGCCACGGCUAACUACGUG
This 497-nucleotide ribosomal RNA is filed under the name uncultured bacterium. Its description in RNAcentral is "partial 16S ribosomal RNA". It matches the Rfam family "Bacterial small subunit ribosomal RNA", at positions 28 to 507 of the family's 1533-position model. The record is from RNAcentral.